Helianthus annuus (common sunflower) is the source of this 302-nucleotide long non-coding RNA. RefSeq lists it as uncharacterized. The record is from RefSeq and is a predicted model, not a curated record. NCBI's taxonomy places the organism in Eukaryota, Viridiplantae, Streptophyta, Magnoliopsida, Asterales, Asteraceae. The transcript is spliced from 3 exons.
AUGUUUAGAGCUGUUAAUUCAGGCAGGUGCUAAAGUAAAUAUUAUUGCUGGUGGAGCAACCCCACUACAUAUCGCCGCUGAUAUUGGUAACUCAGAAUUGAUCACAUGCUUGCUUAAAGCUGGCGCUGAUCCCAAUAUGACCGAUGAGGAUGGCUUAAAGCCUGUACAAGUUGCAGCUGCUCGAGGUAACCGGGCUGCUGUUGAGAUGCUUUUACCACUAUCAUCUCAAGUAGAAACCGUUAAAGAUUGGACAGUUGAUGGUAUAAUCAACCAUAUGCAGUCCGAAGGUGCUAAAGAACAGG